This 1156-nucleotide long non-coding RNA is filed under the name Homo sapiens (human). RNAcentral describes it as "PCBP1 antisense RNA 1". The record is from RNAcentral. Lineage: Eukaryota; Metazoa; Chordata; Mammalia; Primates; Hominidae.
GGCGAGGCGAGGCCUGCGGAGCGGAGGAAGACAAACAUAAAGAUGAAGUGCUUAAUUCAAGGUCACACAAUGUCGGGGAUGGACCUCCAGAUUUCCUUACUGACCUGCAUUAUCUUGUGGAUACCUGAGUGAAUUCCACACCACCCAUUUUAUAGAUGAAACCACUGAGACAUGGAGCAAUUGACUGAGUAGUCACUGCCCCACCCCUGCCUGGAGCCUCACACAUGACUCGCCUCCUCUCAGUGACCACAGGUGAGACGUGGUCUUGUAACACAGUGGUUAAGAAUGUGACUUUGGAGCCAGCCUGCUAGGGGCUGAAUUCUGACUCAGCCAUUUACUAACUGUGUGACCUUAGGGAGGAGGACCUGGUUGAUAGAAGAAUUUAUCUCGUAGUCUUAACAUCCACUGUAAUUCCAAACUUUGAGGACGAUAGAGAUCAGUGGGCUUUGACUGCCCAGCAUGCAGUCUCCAUUCUUAGGUCACAGAAUUUUCCACACUCCUUGACAGAGGUGCUUAACCCUUAUCCAUCAGCAUUCUCAGACAGCACCUCCGGUUAGGGACAGUAUCUGACCGUCCGACAUCCCUGCAGCCCCCAUGUGUCACACAGACUCAGCCUCAGGUAGAUGGUUUCCGUAGAUGGUGGCUUUCUUUGGACCCUUGACAUCAACCAGUUACUAUUUGGUCUAGGGGUCUCACCAACGCUGCUCAUCUAGCAGGGCCACACAUAACAAAUAGAAGCAGAGCAAGCCCUGGAACUCCUGCCUGACAGUGACACGACGACAGAAACAUCUUACCAGUCAGAGGACCAUGAGAAAUAGAUUCAAGGAGCAUUCCACGUGCAAGUGAGUCUUGGCCCCAUCUGCCUUUGGAUUUUAGCCGUGAACUGGAAGGUAUUGGAAAGAAGACCCUCAGAAAUAGCUUAAUCAAAAUCCCUGCGUCUGAACCAAGUGCCUUAUUUCUCUGUGGGCCUCAAGCUUCGCUGACAUCUGUGGAGCACACUGUCCUAACAGGAGUGCUGUCUGAUUUCCCAACGCUCUGCAAAACAAACAGCCUGGAAGGGUGGCUGGUGGAAGGUGGUUUUUAGAGAGAGACUUGUAGAUAACAGGAAAGUGAAGGCUGUAAGGAAGGUUGUAAUUAAACAGCACAUGGAAACACA